UGAAGAAAAAGUAUAAUAGAUAUUGAAAAGAUAAAUACAAGUUGAAUAGUUGAAUGUCUUGUCUUCGUUUUAAAGUUUGAAUGGUGGCUCUAUGUCAAUGUAUGUGGAAGUAGAUACAGUUUAAAGAGGAGGAAGUUGAAUGAGAAUUUGAAGGGUCUCCCCAUUGAAAUACAUGGGAAAUUUUUGUUGAAAAAAGUUGAAUAAAAUUAAAAAUAUAAAUGUUAAAAAUGAGAAAAAUAGAAGCAGUCAUGUCCAAAAGAAUAGGAAUCUAAUGGUGUUUGAAUGGUUUUUUCUAAUUGAACGGUUUUGAAGGAGUAGGCUUUCAAAAAACGUACGGAAGAAUAAAAUAGAAUAAAGAUUAGAAGAACAAUACUGUGAAUGCUUUUCAAGCAUUCACACUAAUAAUAAUAAAGAUUAGAAUAACAAUACUGUGAAUGCUUUUCAAGCAUUCACACU
This is a long non-coding RNA of Astatotilapia calliptera (eastern happy), 456 nucleotides long. NCBI's taxonomy places the organism in Eukaryota, Metazoa, Chordata, Actinopteri, Cichliformes, Cichlidae. The record is from Ensembl.